AUAAAGUAUUCAGCUCUUAGUAAUUGUGCAAUAAAUGUUGGUUUACUAACAGCCUAGCAACAUAAUAAGGCUGUUGGAUUUGACAGAACGUGCAGAAAAUAAGUGCUGAUUGUUUCUCAGAGCUCGCCUUUGUAUUUCUGCUAAGUAUAUUUAGCUAGUCUGCUGACGAAAUGAAAAACUGAACAGUGGAAUUUGUACUCAGGAAGUUAUGUAACAUUUUAUGACAGGUCUUAAAAUAAUGAAAAUUCAGCCACUGAAUGUUUCAAACAUGUAUUUGCUGUGUUGCCAAAGUAGAAAGAGCAGAAGAGAACCACCAUGGGAAGAAAGACUAUUUUGCUUCUGAUUGCAGGAGUACUUGGGCAUAUUAUGUUUAUAUUCCUCUCCCAGAUAACAUUAAGGAACCCUGGCAACUAGUGUGGAUAGCUAUACCUGUGAAAAUGAUAACAAAUUUGGCUUUGUUAGUCGAAUUCUUGGGAAUCAAUCAUUUUGUAAACAC
Molecule: long non-coding RNA, 496 nt
Filed under: Aotus nancymaae (Ma's night monkey)
Lineage: Eukaryota; Metazoa; Chordata; Mammalia; Primates; Aotidae
Description: lncRNA (ENSANAG00000038657.1)
Source: RNAcentral